UGGGAUGUAGCUCAGUGGUAGAGCACUUUACCUGGCAUGCAUAAGUCCCUGGGUUUGGUCCCCAGCAACACAC
Ictidomys tridecemlineatus (thirteen-lined ground squirrel) is the source of this 73-nucleotide non-coding RNA. Lineage: Eukaryota; Metazoa; Chordata; Mammalia; Rodentia; Sciuridae. The record is from Rfam.